UUAAGUUAGAAAGGGCGCACGGUGGAUGCCUUGACACUAGGAGUCGAUGAAGGACGGGACUAACGCCGAUAUGCUUCGGGGAGCUGUAAGUAAGCUUUGAUCCGAAGAUUUCCGAAUGGGGAAACCCACCAUACGUAAUGGUAUGGUAUCCUUAUCUGAAUACAUAGGGUAAGGAAGACAGACCCAGGGAACUGAAACAUCUAAGUACCUGGAGGAAGAGAAAGCAAAUGCGAUUUCCUGAGUAGCGGCGAGCGAAACGGAACAUAGCCCAAACCAAGAGGCUUGCCUCUUGGGGUUGUAGGACAUUCUAUACGGAGUUACAAAGGAACGAGGUAGACGAAGCGACCUGGAAAGGUCCGUCGUAGAGGGUAACAACCCCGUAGUCGAAACUUCGUUCUCUCUUGAAUGUAUCCUGAGUACGGCGGAACACGUGAAAUUCCGUCGGAAUCUGGGAGGACCAUCUCCCAAGGCUAAAUACUCCCUAGUGAUCGAUAGUGAACCAGUACCGUGAGGGAAAGGUGAAAAGCACCCCGGAAGGGGAGUGAAAGAGAUCCUGAAACCGUGUGCCUACAAAUAGUCAGAGCCCGUUAACGGGUGAUGGCGUGCCUUUUGUAGAAUGAACCGGCGAGUUACGAUCCCGUGCGAGGUUAAGCUGAAGAGGCGGAGCCGCAGCGAAAGCGAGUCUGAAUAGGGCGUUUAGUACGUGGUCGUAGACCCGAAACCAGGUGAUCUACCCAUGUCCAGGGUGAAGUUCAGGUAACACUGAAUGGAGGCCCGAACCCACGCACGUUGAAAAGUGCGGGGAUGAGGUGUGGGUAGCGGAGAAAUUCCAAUCGAACCUGGAGAUAGCUGGUUCUCCCCGAAAUAGCUUUAGGGCUAGCCUUAAGUGUAAGAGUCUUGGAGGUAGAGCACUGAUUGGACUAGGGGUCCUCAUCGGAUUACCGAAUUCAGUCAAACUCCGAAUGCCAAUGACUUAUCCUUAGGAGUCAGACUGCGAGUGAUAAGAUCCGUAGUCAAAAGGGAAACAGCCCAGACCGCCAGCUAAGGUCCCAAAGUGUGUAUUAAGUGGAAAAGGAUGUGGAGUUGCUUAGACAACUAGGAUGUUGGCUUAGAAGCAGCCACCAUUUAAAGAGUGCGUAAUAGCUCACUAGUCGAGUGACUCUGCGCCGAAAAUGUACCGGGGCUAAAUACACCACCGAAGCUGCGGAUUGAUACCAAUGGUAUCAGUGGUAGGGGAGCGUUCUAAGGACAGUGAAGUCAGACCGUAAGGACUGGUGGAGUGCUUAGAAGUGAGAAUGCCGGUAUGAGUAGCGAAAGACGGGUGAGAAUCCCGUCCACCGAAUGCCUAAGGUUUCCUGAGGAAGGCUCGUCCGCUCAGGGUUAGUCAGGACCUAAGCCGAGGCCGACAGGCGUAGGCGAUGGACAACAGGUUGAUAUUCCUGUACCACCUCUUUAUCGUUUGAGCAAUGGAGGGACGCAGAAGGAUAGAAGAAGCGUGCGAUUGGUUGUGCACGUCCAAGCAGUUAGGCUGAUAAGUAGGCAAAUCCGCUUAUCGUGUAUGCUGAGCUGUGAUGGGGAAGCUCCUUAUGGAGCGAAGUCUUUGAUUCCCCGCUGCCAAGAAAAGCUUCUAGCGAGAUAAAAGGUGCCUGUACCGCAAACCGACACAGGUAGGCGAGGAGAGAAUCCUAAGGUGUGCGAGAGAACUCUGGUUAAGGAACUCGGCAAAAUGACCCCGUAACUUCGGGAGAAGGGGUGCUUUCUUAACGGAAAGCCGCAGUGAAUAGGCCCAAGCGACUGUUUAGCAAAAACACAGCUCUCUGCGAAGCCGUAAGGCGAAGUAUAGGGGGUGACACCUGCCCGGUGCUGGAAGGUUAAGGAGAGGGGUUAGCGUAAGCGAAGCUCUGAACUGAAGCCCCAGUAAACGGCGGCCGUAACUAUAACGGUCCUAAGGUAGCGAAAUUCCUUGUCGGGUAAGUUCCGACCCGCACGAAAGGUGUAACGAUUUGGGCACUGUCUCAACCAGAGACUCGGUGAAAUUAUAGUACCUGUGAAGAUGCAGGUUACCCGCGACAGGACGGAAAGACCCCGUGGAGCUUUACUGUAGCCUGAUAUUGAAUUUUGGUACAGUUUGUACAGGAUAGGCGGGAGCCAUUGAAACCGGAGCGCUAGCUUCGGUGGAGGCGCUGGUGGGAUACCGCCCUGACUGUAUUGAAAUUCUAACCUACGGGUCUUAUCGACCCGGGAGACAGUGUCAGGUGGGCAGUUUGACUGGGGCGGUCGCCUCCUAAAGUGUAACGGAGGCGCCCAAAGGUUCCCUCAGAAUGGUUGGAAAUCAUUCGUAGAGUGCAAAGGCAUAAGGGAGCUUGACUGCGAGACCUACAAGUCGAGCAGGGACGAAAGUCGGGCUUAGUGAUCCGGUGGUUCCGCAUGGAAGGGCCAUCGCUCAACGGAUAAAAGCUACCCCGGGGAUAACAGGCUUAUCUCCCCCAAGAGUCCACAUCGACGGGGAGGUUUGGCACCUCGAUGUCGGCUCAUCGCAUCCUGGGGCUGUAGUCGGUCCCAAGGGUUGGGCUGUUCGCCCAUUAAAGCGGUACGCGAGCUGGGUUCAGAACGUCGUGAGACAGUUCGGUCCCUAUCCGUCGUGGGCGUAGGAAAUUUGAGAGGAGCUGUCCUUAGUACGAGAGGACCGGGAUGGACGCACCGCUGGUGUACCAGUUGUUCUGCCAAGGGCAUAGCUGGGUAGCUAUGUGCGGAAGGGAUAAGUGCUGAAAGCAUCUAAGCAUGAAGCCCCCCUCAAGAUGAGAUUUCCCAUAGCGUAAGCUAGUAAGAUCCCUGAAAGAUGAUCAGGUUGAUAGGUUCGAGGUGGAAGCAUGGUGACAUGUGGAGCUGACGAAUACUAAUAGAUCGAGGACUUAACCAU
Molecule: ribosomal RNA, 2920 nt
Filed under: Bacillus cereus BAG5X12-1
Lineage: Bacteria; Bacillati; Bacillota; Bacilli; Caryophanales; Bacillaceae
Description: bacterial LSU rRNA
Rfam family: Bacterial large subunit ribosomal RNA
Source: RNAcentral